GUUUGAAAGUUUAAAGAUAACCCUUCCACUUAUUGGCUCCAAAAUGACUCUUGAAAUGCUAUUUUCGUCACUCCUCUUGACCAGCAAAUUACCCACUUGGUUUGGGCUCUUCUUGGGCUGGUCAUAAAAUUGGCUGGACUUCAUAUAUAUUACAUUGGGCCAACUUCAGAAUGAACAACAGUAAACGAAAUCAAGAACAGAAACUAAAUACUGAAUAGAUAAAGAGAAAUCCAUAUUACAAAAGGUCUAGAACACAAGGUCUGCGGAAUAAAACUAGAUAAAAACUUGUCUGCAAAAAUGUGAAGUACAUGCUACUUAUAGCCAAAUAUUCCGAAAUCCUAAUACUUAAACCGACGAAGUAUUGGGACGGAUUAAGAACUGUACUUGACCCACGUGGUCGAGUGGGAGGUCGAGUGAAUAGCUGGAGUCUUCUUUUCUUCCUUGUGCUCGAGUGUCUGGUUGAGUGCGGGAUGACGAAGACUCUGAAGCUUGCCAUCGAGUAUGUAGUCGAGUGGUGGUGAUGGAGAUACUCGACUUCAAGGUAGAGUGGCGAGAUCGAGUUGUGGUCUGGCAAUGAAGGUGAAGACACUCGACCUCGGAGUCGAGUGAUGUGAUCGAGUGAUGGUCAGGUGAUGGGAUGAAGACACUCGACCUCGGGGUCGAGUGAUGUGGUGAAGUAGUGAUGUCCUCUACUCGACCAGGGGGUCGAGUGAUCUGUUCUGAUCUAGAAGCUCCUACUCGACCUCGGGGUCGAGUGGUUUGACAUGAUCAGGUCCGCUUCUUCCAGAUAGCUCGUCAACAGCUCCAAAUCACCUGAAAUCAACGCAAAUAUGCAACAUGCAUGCAAAUCUAUCCUAAACAUGUAAAGUGAUGAAAAAUGAUGAGAAAUGGUAUAAAACAGUGAUGAUAUGAUGCUAAAGUGAUGACAAAUGGAUGCUCAAAACAUGCAAAAUACACACUUAUCAACUCCCCAAACUUAGUCUUUGCUUGCCCUCAAACAAAUAAUCAAGAACAAGGUGGAGGUGAGGUUUGAAAGCGGGGACUCAGAGCCAAAGCACCAGAUAAACCAGAUGAAAUCAAUGUCCAAGUUGAAAGUUCUAAG
Molecule: small RNA, 1102 nt
Filed under: Arabidopsis thaliana (thale cress)
Lineage: Eukaryota; Viridiplantae; Streptophyta; Magnoliopsida; Brassicales; Brassicaceae
Description: ATSL205390
Source: RNAcentral